Molecule: long non-coding RNA, 358 nt
Organism: Canis lupus familiaris (dog)
Lineage: Eukaryota; Metazoa; Chordata; Mammalia; Carnivora; Canidae
Exons: 3
Source: RefSeq, a predicted model, not a curated record
CUGGGAAGGAGCCUGGGAGGGAGUACGGGAGGGUGCAUGAGAGGGAGCCUGGGCAGGAGUACAACAGGGAGCCCCGGAGGGAGCAUGGGAGGAAACAUGAGAAGGAGCACAGGUGGGCAGCAGGCAAUGGCGCCAGCCCAGGACACCCGCCAGCCCAGGACACACGCCCUCCCGUCCUUCCGGUUCUUCAGCAGGAAGAGGUCCGCCCCAACCACCACAGGCUCCUGUAUUACCAGAGGGACCAAACAGGAAAGCACAAUGAUGAACAGCUGAAGGCGGGCCACCAUUAUAAUCAGUGUUAUAAAAACACCGCCUUGGCCCCCGGCAUGGCUCCCCCACCCAACCAGUUGGAUCCAGC